RNAcentral lists this ribosomal RNA (468 nucleotides) under uncultured bacterium. RNAcentral's name for it is "partial 16S ribosomal RNA". It matches the Rfam family "Bacterial small subunit ribosomal RNA", at positions 28 to 507 of the family's 1533-position model. The record is from RNAcentral.
GACGAACGCUGGCGGCGUGCUUAACACAUGCAAGUCGAACGGAAAGGCCCUGCCUUUGUGGGGUGCUCGAGUGGCGAACGGGUGAGUAACACGUGAGUAACCUGCCCUUGACUUUGGGAUAACUUCAGGAAACUGGGGCUAAUACCGGAUAGGAGCUCCUGCUGCAUGGUGGGGGUUGGAAGGUUUCGGCGGUUGGGGAUGGACUGGCGGCUUAUCAGCUUGUUGGUGGGGUAGUGGCUUACCAAGGCUUUGACGGGUAGCCGGCCUGAGAGGGUGACCGGCCACAUUGGGACUGAGAUACGGCCCAGACUCCAACGGGAGGCAGCAGUGGAGAAUAGUGCACAAUGGGCGGAAGCCUGAUGCAGCAACGCCGCGUGCGGGAUGACGUCCUUCGGGUAGUAAUCCGCUUUCGCCUGUGACGAAGCGUGAGUGACGGUAAUGGGUAAAGAAGCACCGGCUAACUACGUG